This 480-nucleotide ribosomal RNA is filed under the name uncultured bacterium. RNAcentral's name for it is "bacterial SSU rRNA". It matches the Rfam family "Bacterial small subunit ribosomal RNA", at positions 28 to 502 of the family's 1533-position model. The record is from RNAcentral.
GACAAACGCUGGCGGCGUGCUUAACACAUGCAAGUCGAACGGUCCCUUUCUUAUGAGGGGGAUAGUGGCGGACGGGUGAGUAACACGUAGACGACCUGCCUCGAAGUGGGGAAUAACGUCCUGAAAGGGACGCUAAUACCGCAUAAGCUCUCUAUCGUGGGGUAGAGAGGAAACUUUCGUAAGAGAGGCUUUGAGAGGGGUCUGCGGCGGAUUAGCUAGUUGGGUAGGUAACGGCUGCCCAAGGCGACGAUCCGUAGCUGGUCUGAGAGGACGGCCAGCCACACUGGGACUGAGACACGGCCCAGACUCCUACGGGAGGCAGCAGUGAGGAAUAUUCCACAAUGGCGCAAGCCUGAUGGAGCGACGCCGCGUGAGGGAAGACGCCUUUCGGGGUGUAAACCUCUUUUAUGGAGGAUGACACGCCCCACUGUAGCGAUACAUGGGCUAGGACAGUACUCCGUGAAUAAGCCUCGGCUAACU